UCAUAUGCUUGUCUCAAAGAUUAAGCCAUGCAUGUCUCAGUGCAAGCCGUCCUACGUACGGUGAAACCGCGAAAGGCUCAGUAAAUCAGUUAUGGUUCCUUAGAUUGUACCCACAUUACGUUACUUGGAUAACUGUGGUAAUUCUAGAGCUAAUACAUGCCGACAGAGUUCCGACCAGCGCCGGGUGUACUAGGCUUCGCGCCGUCGCCCGGUGUUCGGAAGGAACGCUCUUAUUAGAUCAAAACCGGCCAAACAGUGUUUGAUCGCGUUUCCGAACGCGUUCACCUGUGAGCGGCCCGCGCAAAGACUUGACGACUCUGAAUAAUUUCGAGCUGAUCGCAUGGUCUUGGUGCCAGCGACGUAUCUUUCAAAUGUCUGCCUUAUCAACUGUCGACGGUAGGUUCGAUGCCUACCGUGGUGGUAACGGGUAACGGGGAAUCAGGGUUCGAUUCCGGAGAGGGAGCCUGAGAAACGGCUACCACAUCCAAGGAAGGCAGCAGGCGCGCAAAUUACCCACUCCCAGCUCGGGGAGGUAGUGACGAAAAAAUAACGAUGCGGGACUCUUAUGAGGCCCCGUAAUCGGAAUGAGUACACUUUAAAACCUUGGUCACACGAGGAUCAAUUGGAGGGCAAG
RNAcentral lists this ribosomal RNA (634 nucleotides) under Dactylopius coccus. Its description in RNAcentral is "bacterial SSU rRNA". It matches the Rfam family "Eukaryotic small subunit ribosomal RNA", at positions 24 to 559 of the family's 1831-position model. Lineage: Eukaryota; Metazoa; Arthropoda; Insecta; Hemiptera; Dactylopiidae. The record is from RNAcentral.